This 292-nucleotide ribosomal RNA is filed under the name Leptospira biflexa. Its description in RNAcentral is "partial 16S ribosomal RNA". It matches the Rfam family "Bacterial small subunit ribosomal RNA", at positions 58 to 354 of the family's 1533-position model. Lineage: Bacteria; Pseudomonadati; Spirochaetota; Leptospiria; Leptospirales; Leptospiraceae. The record is from RNAcentral.
CAAGUCAAGCGGAGUAGCAAUACUCAGCGGCGAACGGGUGAGUAAUUCAUGGAUAACCUACCUAGAAGUUGGGGAUAACACAGAGAAAUUUGUGCUAAUACCGAAUGUGACGGUUCCUGGUAGCAGGGAUUGGUUAAAGCAGCAAUGCGCUUUUAGAUGGGUCCAUGGCUGAUUAGCUAGCUGGUGGGGUAAAGGCUCACCAAGGCGACGAUCAGUAGCCGGCCUGAGAGGGUGAACGGCCACAAUGGAACUGAGACACGGUCCAUACUCCUACGGGAGGCAGCAGGUUAAG